AGUGAACGCUGGCGGUAGGCCUAACACAUGCAAGUCGAACGGCAGCACAGUAAGAGCUUGCUCUUACGGGUGGCGAGUGGCGGACGGGUGAGGAAUACAUCGGAAUCUACUUUUUCGUGGGGGAUAACGUAGGGAAACUUACGCUAAUACCGCAUACGACCUACGGGUGAAAGCAGGGGAUCUUCGGACCUUGCGCGAUUGAAUGAGCCGAUGUCGGAUUAGCUAGUUGGCGGGGUAAAGGCCCACCAAGGCGACGAUCCGUAGCUGGUCUGAGAGGAUGACCAGCCACACUGGAACUGAGACACGGUCCAGACUCCUACGGGAGGCAGCAGUGGGGAAUAUUGGACAAUGGGCGCAAGCCUGAUCCAGCCAUACUGCGUGGGUGAAGAAGGCCUUCGGGUUGUAAAGCCCUUUUGUUGGGAAAGAAAAGCAGCAGGUUAAUACCCCGCUGUUCUGACGGUACCCAAAGAAUAAGCACCGGCUAACUUCGUG
RNAcentral lists this ribosomal RNA (492 nucleotides) under uncultured bacterium. Its description in RNAcentral is "partial 16S ribosomal RNA". It matches the Rfam family "Bacterial small subunit ribosomal RNA", at positions 29 to 507 of the family's 1533-position model. The record is from RNAcentral.